CCUACGGGUGGCUGCAGUGAGGAAUAUUGGACAAUGGACGGAAGCCUGAACCAGCCAUGCCGCGUGCAUGAAGACGGCCCUAUGAGUUGUAAACUGCUUUUGUACAAGGGUAAACCUGAAUACGUGUAUUCUCCUGCAUGUACUGUACGAAUAAGGAUCGGCUAACUCCGUGCCAGCAGCCGCGGUAAUACGGAGGAUCCAAGCGUUAUCCGGAUUUAUUGGGUUUAAAGGGUGCGUAGGCGGAUUGAUAAGUUAGAGGUGAAAUGUCCGGGCUUAACUCGGGAACUGCCUCUGAUACUGUUGAGCUAGAGAGUAGAUGCGGAAGGCGGAAUGUAUGGUGUAGCGGUGAAAUGCUUAGAGAUCAGACAGAACACCGAUUGCGAAGGCAGCUUACUAAUCUGUAUCUGACGUUGAGGCACGAAAGCGUGGGGAGCAAACAGGAUUAGAUACCCGUGUAGUC
RNAcentral lists this ribosomal RNA (460 nucleotides) under uncultured bacterium. RNAcentral's name for it is "partial 16S ribosomal RNA". It matches the Rfam family "Bacterial small subunit ribosomal RNA", at positions 338 to 795 of the family's 1533-position model. The record is from RNAcentral.